CUAUGGCCCCUGGGAUGUAUUGCCUGCUCUCCUGUAUGGCGGAGGAUUGCUACCAACUAGGUGGAUUUGACUAUGGAGCUUGUGUAGUGCCCUCUGUUGGUAGCAACAGUAAUAUGCACUACCUGAAUAGCAAGACUGGUAAUUUGCAUAUUCGGAUAAACAUAGAAACAUAGAAACAUAGAAUGUGACGGCAGAUAAGAAC
Molecule: non-coding RNA, 202 nt
Organism: Pelobates cultripes (western spadefoot toad)
Lineage: Eukaryota; Metazoa; Chordata; Amphibia; Anura; Pelobatidae
Source: the annotation of a GenBank genome assembly